This 861-nucleotide long non-coding RNA is filed under the name Arabidopsis lyrata. Its description in RNAcentral is "long non-coding RNA (ALYR_LNC001665)". The record is from RNAcentral. Lineage: Eukaryota; Viridiplantae; Streptophyta; Magnoliopsida; Brassicales; Brassicaceae.
UUAGGUUUGAGCCGACAAGAGUAAUAUCUCAUGUAGUUCCAAUCCGCGUUUUUGGACUUGGUAGGACUAGGUGGAAACUUAUUUGGGGAUUGAGAUUGAGUGUGAAAAGAAAAAGAAAAAAAAAAAUGGGUUAGAGUAUUUAGGAGAAGGAAGCUGAAAAUCAUAUUCAGGUCUAGUGAAUGUUUGGGAAGCAUAGAAUUGUUAAGUUAUGCUCUAAAAAAAAGAUGGCAACAAAAACAGAAAAAAAAAUUAUAAAAGCCAUAAGAGUUUAAGAAAAACCUGAUUCACUAGACUAGACUCAUAGAGUAUAAGAAAAGCUUCUCCUUAAGAACAAGAGCCAAAGAAAAGAAAGGAUAAAUUGAUCCAAGAAAGAAUAGAAAUAUGCCUUUAGUGCAAAAGGGUAGACUUAGGAUCAUCAAUGGGUUUAGAAAUAGGACCAUCUACUUGUUAUUCACGGUUUAUGUCAUUGGGUAGAUGGGGUACUAUUCUUGUAUGUAUAGGUUGGCACUUACCUUUAGCAUUCUCCUAAAGCUCAGUCCAUUUUCAUUGAGAGUCCCCUGUUAUUAAAAUCUGAACCACCUUAAAGGAACAUUCUUUAUCUCAUAGCCCGUCCUUAGCCAAACGAGUUCACUAACGAUGCACAACUUGAUUCAUGUUUUUGACCUUAAUGAAUGUUAAAGGGAUUGGUUGAUUUUGACGCAUUAUGCAAUCGAGUGUGGGUUUGGAUCAUAACAGAGCAUGGCUAAAGUUUUUAAGUAGAAGUCAUUCACCUCACAUCUUAGAACUAAUAACUUGGACAUUGAGCUUCAUUACUUCAUCACAUGUUUUGGUUCUGAGUCCCCAACUUCAAACCUCUCCUCC